Molecule: unclassified non-coding RNA, 148 nt
Organism: Pongo abelii (Sumatran orangutan)
Lineage: Eukaryota; Metazoa; Chordata; Mammalia; Primates; Hominidae
Rfam family: Metazoan signal recognition particle RNA
About the family: The signal recognition particle (SRP) is a universally conserved ribonucleoprotein. It is involved in the co-translational targeting of proteins to membranes. The eukaryotic SRP consists of a 300-nucleotide 7S RNA and six proteins: SRPs 72, 68, 54, 19, 14, and 9.
Source: Ensembl
GCUGGGUGUGGUGGCACAUGCCUGUAAUCUCAGCUACUUGGGAGGCUGAGGCAGGAGAAUCACUUGAACCCAGGAGAUGAAGGUUGCAGUGAGCCAGGGUUGCGCCACUGCACUCCAGCCUGGGUGACAGAGUGAGAUCCUGUCUCAA